Molecule: long non-coding RNA, 3370 nt
Organism: Neodiprion fabricii
Lineage: Eukaryota; Metazoa; Arthropoda; Insecta; Hymenoptera; Diprionidae
Exons: 4
Source: RefSeq, a predicted model, not a curated record
GUUUUUCUUCUACUCUCAGUGUGUUAUAGUACGCUGAGAGUGGGAUGGAAGUUCGGUCAGUAUCUUCACGAUUGGUCCUUGAUGAAUAUUGUCAGAUUCCAAACACGCACUCAAGUUAUAAUUUAGCAUGUAGUUUUGUUGGUUGUAACGUUUUUAUGCAAGCAGGAGACAACAAUUUGCGCAAGUAGUGUCACAAUGUGAACUGACUUAGCUGACAUAUGAGGAUUGAGUUUUAGUUGGUCGAGGAUUUUCGGAUAGGUGCGUAUUUACGGAAGAGAAGGUUGGGUCAGGUUUUGUUAAUCUUGGGUUGGUUAGGGCAACUCGUGGGUGGGGAGGAAAUCGCCGUAAGUGGUUGCAUUCUAUCAUUCUUCUUAUCUCUUACUCUGUUUUACGUUACUUUACGUUAGUAGGUCGUUGGUAUCAACUUGUGACAUUAAAGCUAUGGAGUGGGAUUUGCAAAGUUGCGUAGACUUGCGGAGAUUCGCGCUUCGCCCACUAUGGCGCUGUAGGUUUUUCUGUAUUGCCAACAUAACUGUCUAACGUAAAACAUCAGCCGUCUCUGAUUCACUUAUGUCCCCGAGCGCACAUACGCUAUGUAAAUGCAGUACGUAUGUAAUAUUCGUAUAGUAACUAUGAUAUUUUAUAUAUAGUGUAAUUUCUGAAGAAAGGAGAGCACAACAGAUCUUUCAUUAAAGGAAGUUUUUCAUUUUUAGGAGGUUGUCACCCCUGGGACGUCACACUUUGCUACUCGGCCUAUUCAAGACCUUACCCACAUUGUACGCAUUGCGCACAACGCUAAAGAGUUUUACCAGAGAUUCACACAACGUCAUAUGACCGAUGAUGAGCAGGUUCGAAAUCGCUGCAAUGUUCAACUUUGAUGCGGAAUUGUUAUCGUAUUACCAGCGGAAGUGGCCGAGAGUUCGAAAUUCCGGAAAGAAACUGCAAAGUAGACUGAUACCAUGUCGCAGACGAUGGAACGCGGCACGUCUACUGGUUUGACGGGUGCUUCUGGAACGGCUAUUGAUAUUGUUCACUUCUGGUAUUAAAAAACAAAAAAAAAAAACAAUCCUAACGGUAUUUCAGCUCGUAUACAUCCGGCUACUGUUCAAUCAACUAACAUAUAAAAUUAUUUCCAACGAAAUCGACACUCGUCAAAUUCAAAUAAUCGUUUUGCGCAAUGGUUAUUUGAAAUUCACAAGUGACGAUUGCGUUAAAAAAAAUUUUCUUAUGUACUGUUUCAUUGAACGAUAGUUACACGCGUACGAACUAAAUGCCAUUUGGGUCCUUUUUCAGGUUAGCAAAAGUGAAGAAAUUCGUGGAUUCACAGACGAGGAGGAUCAGCCGAUGUGGGAAUUUUUCAUAAAAAUUGUUGACCAUGUUUUCACACGAACAUCUAAAAUGUCAAUAAAUGUAGGCUGAAAAUUUGAAAGUAACUGAUUGCACAAUUUCAUUUUUUUUCCUUAUAAAUUACAAAAAAACUCUUAUUUUGGCGGAUAAAAAUUAGACACCCCACUUAAGUAUGGCGAUGUUUAGCAUUUUCAUCGAAACCGUUUGAAUUGUUCAACCUUUCAUCCCUAGAUAUAUUCUCUUUUUCAUCUACCCCCCUCAACAUUCAUACCUAAACAUAACCAUUGCAAAUUUUUUUCGAGUAAAUUUCAGCUCGCUUCAAACAAAUAAGAAUCAAGGCCGGUCUGGCUAAUUUCAAAGUAUCAUACUUCAUUUCAAAGCGAGUACCAAGAAAUGUUGGUUAUGUUGGGACAAAGCUUUUCGAGAAGUCGCAGAGCACCUUUGUGAGUGCGAGGCUGAAAGUAGUCCGCUCGACCAAUCGUGGAGCGCGUGAUGAAAUAGUAAUUUGCUGAUGGACCGGCUAGUUCGGCGUAGUAAUACAUCAUUGCGCUGACGCGAGUCGCGCGCAGCGAUACGAUUCGAAUCCGCAAUUCUGUUCAUUCUUCGUCCAUAAAGUCUCGGGUUGAGUCGAUCUGAGACUCCGGAGUUUGUCUGUGUUGCGAGCCUCAUAAUCCGUGUUUGAAAAUAUUUGCCUGCUAAGUGAGAGACGGAAAAGUGACUUUACUCCGAAAUCAAUCUUUAACAAUAACUCUCGACUUCAUUCUUUUACGCGUUGCUGUACCAAAGCGUUAGUUUGUUACCGAUCACGGCUAUCAAACUCACAGUCAGUGUAUCGUGUGUUAAUGCAAUUAACGGUCCUCGCUAACUCGAGUAAAUUCAGUGAUCGAUUUUUUCGGACAGCUGUGUUACGGACGUUUCAAACAAUUUGUGCCGACUAUGCGGUGAGCUGGCAAAAGGAGUGAAGUAGUAUUUCGGUGUUGAGUUCGGACGUGUGCCGAGAGUCAGCAUCAACGUUUCGGAGCCUUGUGUUUAUUUGAGGGACUCGGGCCCCCCUUACGGGACAGUACAGCCAAGGAAAGUCGUUGUCGGUGAUGUAUGGAGUGGUAUUGUACGUAAUAAAUUCAGGUUCAGGUAUCUCUUCGAUGACCGGGACCGGGACCACCUUUCCGUGUCCGAUCUCGACCUGUUCCAAGAGAAGGUCUUCCGAUACGUCCGGAGCUCGUUGGUGGAGAACGAUUCCUCUCGGUCGGCCGGCUCGAGUAACGGUGAAAAGGAUCGCACGGUCAGAGCGUAAAGAUUCCCGCGUUCGUUCCUGACACCGGGAAGUCUGGCUUCUAUUUCGGCCUUACUGUUUUCUCGGACGUGUCUACCGGCUCUAUCACGAGGCUCGAUGCGCGUUGAGGAGGGUUUUGGCAUCUACGGGUAAAGGAGAGAUGGAUUUAAUCAAGGCAAUGCUAGUUUUGCAAGGGGAAACAGGAGGCAGGAAUAUAUCAAGAUGGCCGCCGUGGUGUUUGUUUCUCCGCAUGGGUGGUUCACGAACUGGGCUGCCUGCUGUCUCCGAUCAACCGUGUAUGCGCGGUUGCUUGACUCGAAAAGUGUAGGCGGAUGACGUGUGUGUGCGAUUGCCUGACUGGAGGAUUGUAGGCGCGCGAUCUCUGAUGCGUUUCUGCAGCUUUUAGGCGUACACAAAAUCUAUUCCGUGUGACGGACAUCCGGAAGAUGCCACAUUUGAAUGGUACGUUCGAGGCGGGGUUGAAGUUAUGAAUUUGAAAAGUUCCGAAAGUGCGUAAUUACGAGUUAGUUGGUGGCGAAACGAAACUCGAGGGGAAGAAAUCAACCUUAUACGAAACAACAAAGUUGGGAAUUGUUGCAAGCCCGAUCGCUCAAAAUUCCAAAAUUCACGGUUCUCAAAAUUAAAGAUACGAUAAAGUAAUGUUCCGAAAAGUAAAGUUCCGAUAGAGCAAAACAUCCGAAAAAUGCAGUUUUGAUUGAGUAAAAUUCUGGAAAUUAAAAUAAAACCGCA